This 195-nucleotide ribosomal RNA is filed under the name uncultured bacterium SP8-3. RNAcentral's name for it is "partial 16S rRNA". It matches the Rfam family "Bacterial small subunit ribosomal RNA", at positions 338 to 524 of the family's 1533-position model. RNAcentral also lists the same sequence under 1 other name. The record is from RNAcentral.
CCUACGGGAGGCAGCAGUAGGGAAUCUUCGGCAAUGGACGAAAGUCUGACCGAGCAACGCCGCGUGAGUGAAGAAGGUUUUCGGAUCGUAAAACUCUGUUGUUAGAGAAGAACAAGGAUGAGAGUAGAACGUUCAUCCCUUGACGGUAUCUAACCAGAAAGCCACGGCUAACUACGUGCCAGCAGCCGCGGUAAU